UGCAACUUUGUGAAGCCUGGAAACAUUUUC
Molecule: non-coding RNA, 30 nt
Filed under: Mus musculus (house mouse)
Lineage: Eukaryota; Metazoa; Chordata; Mammalia; Rodentia; Muridae
Source: RNAcentral